This 21-nucleotide microRNA is filed under the name Drosophila melanogaster (fruit fly). Its description in RNAcentral is "dme-miR-979-3p". Its record names the gene dme-miR-979-3p. Lineage: Eukaryota; Metazoa; Arthropoda; Insecta; Diptera; Drosophilidae. The record is from miRBase by way of RNAcentral.
UUCUUCCCGAACUCAGGCUAA